Molecule: transfer RNA, 73 nt
Filed under: Ovis aries (sheep)
Lineage: Eukaryota; Metazoa; Chordata; Mammalia; Artiodactyla; Bovidae
Rfam family: tRNA
About the family: Transfer RNA (tRNA) molecules are approximately 80 nucleotides in length. Their secondary structure includes four short double-helical elements and three loops (D, anti-codon, and T loops). Further hydrogen bonds mediate the characteristic L-shaped molecular structure. tRNAs have two regions of fundamental functional importance: the anti-codon, which is responsible for specific mRNA codon recognition, and the 3' end, to which the tRNAs corresponding amino acid is attached (by aminoacyl-tRNA synthetases). tRNAs cope with the degeneracy of the genetic code in two manners: having more than one tRNA (with a specific anti-codon) for a particular amino acid; and 'wobble' base-pairing, i.e. permitting non-standard base-pairing at the 3rd anti-codon position.
Source: Rfam by way of RNAcentral
UCCCUAGUGGUCCAGUGGUUGGGACUCUGCACUCGCAGUACAGGGGGCCCGGGUUCGAUCCCUGGUCAGGGAA